Molecule: non-coding RNA, 121 nt
Organism: Picea glauca (white spruce)
Lineage: Eukaryota; Viridiplantae; Streptophyta; Pinopsida; Pinales; Pinaceae
Source: Rfam
ACAUGCCUACAACAUAGCGUUAAUGCAUCGGAUCCCAUUAGAACUCUGCAGUUAAGCGCGCUCAGGCUAGAGCAGUUUUGGGAUGGGUGACCGCUCGAGAAGCCCUAGUGUUUUACAUGCC